Molecule: ribosomal RNA, 404 nt
Filed under: uncultured Rickettsiales bacterium
Lineage: Bacteria; Pseudomonadati; Pseudomonadota; Alphaproteobacteria; Rickettsiales
Description: bacterial SSU rRNA
Rfam family: Bacterial small subunit ribosomal RNA
Source: RNAcentral
UGGGGAAUAUUGGACAAUGGGGGAAACCCUGAUCCAGCAAUGCCGCGUGAAUGAAGAAGGCCUUCGGGUUGUAAAGUUCUUUCGCCUGUGAAGAUAAUGACGGUAGCAGGAAAAGAAGUCCCGGCUAACUCCGUGCCAGCAGCCGCGGUAAGACGGAGGGGACUAGCGUUGUUCGGAAUGACUGGGCGUAAAGGGUGCGUAGGCGGUUCCUUAAGUAAGGCGUGAAAGCCCUGGGCUUAACCCAGGAAGUGCGCUUUAAACUGAGGAGCUAGAGUGUGAGAGAGGAAAGUAGAAUUCCUAGUGUAGAGGUGAAAUUCGCAGAGAUUAGGAAGAAUACCAGAGGCGAAGGCGGCUUUCUGGCUCACAACUGACGCUGAGGCACGAAAGCGUGGGGAGCAAACAGG